GAGCUCGGAUUUGGUCGCCCGUGC
RNAcentral lists this microRNA (24 nucleotides) under Petromyzon marinus (sea lamprey). Its description in RNAcentral is "pma-miR-4609". Lineage: Eukaryota; Metazoa; Chordata; Hyperoartia; Petromyzontiformes; Petromyzontidae. The record is from miRBase by way of RNAcentral.